UGGGGAAUUUUGGGCAAUGGGGGAAACCCUGAUCCAGCCAUCCCGCGUGUGCGAUGAAGGCCCUCGGGUUGUAAAGCACUUUUGGCAGGAAAGAAACGUCAUGGGUUAAUACCCCGUGAAACUGACGGUACCUGCAGAAUAAGCACCGGCUAACUACGUGCCAGCAGCCGCGGUAAUACGUAGGGUGCAAGCGUUAAUCGGAAUUACUGGGCGUAAAGCGUGCGCAGGCGGUUCGGAAAGAAAGAUGUGAAAUCCUAGGGCUCAACUUUGGAACUGCAUUUUUAACUACCGGGCUAGAGUGUGUCAGAGGGAGGUGGAAUUCCGCGUGUAGCAGUGAAAUGCGUAGAUAUGCGGAGGAACACCGAUGGCGAAGGCAGCCUCCUGGGAUAACACUGACGCUCAUGCACGAAAGCGUGGGGAGCAAACAGG
This 429-nucleotide ribosomal RNA is filed under the name Acidobacteriota bacterium. RNAcentral's name for it is "Acidobacteria bacterium partial 16S ribosomal RNA". It matches the Rfam family "Bacterial small subunit ribosomal RNA", at positions 355 to 776 of the family's 1533-position model. The record is from RNAcentral. Lineage: Bacteria; Pseudomonadati; Acidobacteriota.